Molecule: long non-coding RNA, 4518 nt
Filed under: Marmota monax (woodchuck)
Lineage: Eukaryota; Metazoa; Chordata; Mammalia; Rodentia; Sciuridae
Source: RNAcentral
GCAAAACCGAACACAUUUCUGGGAAAUACCACGAACAGUUUUUGGUAUUCGGCUCAUAAUCAUUUGUUUGUUUACCGAGUACCUUGGCUGCCCCUGUAGGGGACAUGGACACUGCUGCUCAAACUGCAGGGCCUGUUCAGGCGGCCACCUCCCUGCAGUUUCUUACAAAGGGCGGGUUCUGUUCUUGGCAAGAGAAGUCAUCCAGACUUCUGUGACCUCCAGGCCUCUGGGCUGCCCGGCCCCUUCCGUUCUGCUCCGCAGCCAGGCCUCAUUUCCUUUCCCUCCUUCUCUUGUUUGGCCUCUGUGGGGACAAGCAGGGGCAAGCGAGUCCCCAAGUCUUUUCAGUUCUAAUGAAAAGUCCCAGUGCCAGGGGCUGGGCGAGUUGCCUUGGCAUAGGAGAGUGGACCAGGGCCAGCACCCCAGCUGGACAGACUCCCGGCAGAGCUUCCCUCGCCAGCACACGGAGAAAAGGGUCUGGCUGAAGAAUCCGCGUCCCCUGUGCCACCUCUUGAAGGUGACACCCCGUGAGUACUGCUUAAAGGGUGGCUUCAUCUCCCUCCGACUCAAGUCACAAAGACAGGACAUCUUGCAGUCAGUCUUGCUGCUGGAAGGAAGAUGUCGAACUGAGAUUUGUCUGUGGCUUGGCCGACAGCCAGCGGACACCACAGGUCGCACAAGAAGCCUGUCACUUAGAAUGCUUUCAGAGGCUCCUGACCAAAUGGACCCCAAGGGUCCGGAUAGGAGGGCUCACCUUCUUCUCUCCAGAGUCUAAUCACUCAAUCUCUAAAUGGUCCUAACACCAACAGGAGCUGAGAGCUGGCUGGUCUAGGAGAGUUCCGGUCUUCUCUGCUCCUCGGCUCUUAAUCAAAUUCUCUAAAAUUUAGAAGAAAUUCUAACUCUGUUGUGCUGGUGAGAGCGCAGUAACUGCAGUUCAGUUUCUCUCACGUUUGGAGGGCAGCCUGGGGUGGGAAAAGAUGGAGGAGGGGUCUGCCCCACUUCAGUUCCAGUUCCUGGCUGUGUGACCUCAAGCAAGUAAUUUGAGCUCUCUGAGCCUUUGUUUGUUCCUGUAUUGCAAGAAAGCCAAAGCAGUUGAAGAAACCCUUGCACGGCAGAUGAUGAAGGCCAGCUUUCUCAAGGGAGGUGAGCAGAUGAUGAAGGCCAGCUUUCUCAAGGGAGGUGAGCAGAUGAUGAAGGCCAGCUUUCUCAAGGGAGGUAAGCAGUAACUGGAAAGCAAGCUAGUUCCUCGCAGGGCUCAGGGCUGUUUCCCUUCCAGGGCUCUUGCUUGGCAUCGCUCCAUGCUUAAUUCUGAAGAUCACUCAAACAGUUACAGUUAAAUGCAGAUCAAUAUCAGUUCUCAAAAACAGAAGCCACUGCCACUUACUCAGCUGGCUGAGCGUCAGCUCUGAGCCUGCCACAGGCGCUGGGUUUAAAGAUCUGGAUCCCAGAGGGGCAUGGGGCCUCUGCCUGGGGCAGCUCACAGGCUGCUUAGGAAAGUCCAGCCAGUGAGUGGGACCCGGUCAUGUGAGGAGAGCAGGCGAAGGGAGGGCCUUGCUGUGACACUGCAUGACAAAGCAGCAGUGGAGAAGAGGCCGGGGUGUGGGAAGCCCAGGGCUGCUCUGUGCCUAGGGCCAGGGUAUGGAUGGGGCAUGGCCAGGACGGGGGUGCUGCUGGCAUGACGCUGCCCAGAAGAGGCCUGAGUAAGGGCCGCCCUUCUCUUCCCCUUCCCCUCCCCCUCCUUCUCUUAGUCUUUUGAGUCUUCAUCCAAAAGGAAGUGGGAGGCAUUGAAAGCUUUGGAACAGAGCCGUGAAGGCAUUAUCAGUCUUUGAGGUAGAGUUCUCCAUGGAUGCUUCUCUACAGAAGCAUAGGGUGGAGACUGGCCAUCGGGAGACUCGCAGGCUGAUGUCCUGGUGCAGAGGCCAAGGGCCUGGGCCAGGUGGAAUGGAGGACUGGGUUGGUCAGUCCUUCAGCACUGAAUCGAAUACCUCGAUAAUCAAGUUGUAAAGAGAAGAGGUUUAGCUUGGCUCGGUUUUGGAGGUUCAAUCAGUGGUCGGCUGGCCCCGUUGCUGUGGGCCCGUGGUGAGGCAGCGCAUCAUGGAGGGAAUGUGGGGGAGCAGGGCUGCCCACCUCAUGGACAGGGAGCAGGAAGAACAGGACAAGGAGAGGACCUUUUCCCCACGGUCCCCCUCGAGAGCACACCAUUCAACAGCUUAAAGUCUCCCAGGAGACCCCACAACUUGAAGCUUCCACCAGCUCCCAACAGCAGCUCACUGGGGACCAAGCUGCUAACACAGGGACUUGGGGGACAUUGAAGACCCGGACCAUAGCAGGGACCAUUAGUGACAUCUGAGAUAGGAUGUGACAUCAGGAGAAGGAAGGAGGUGGGAGAUGAGGUGUGAGAGAGGGCUUGUCACAAAGAAGGCGGACGUCAAAACCGUGGUGCUCAGGGGAGGGAGCCGGACACGGCAGGUCACGCACUGCGCGAUUCCAUUUUUCCAAAAUGUCCCGAAAAGGCAGCUCUAGAACCUACAGAGACAGAACCUGGAGGACUGUUGCCAGGGGCUGGGAGCAGAGAAUGACUGCCGAUGGGCACGUGGUUUCUUUGGGGGACGAUGGCAACAUCCCCCAAGUUAGAUAGUGGUCAUGGUCACAUGACUGCUCUGAACAGCAUUCAGCAGCACACUUACAAGGGGUCUGUUUGAUGGUGUGAAAAUCAUACUCAACAAGCUUUUUAAAAAAGAGAGCAGUAUUGAAAGGCCUCGAGGAAUUAUGGAGGAGAAGCAGCCUGGUUAACGCUGCCGGCUGAGAACAACGGACCUCUGUCCGCCUGAGCCCUGUGAGAAGUGUUCAUUCAUCGUCUCUUUUAAUAUGGACCCAGUGUGAAAAUUAGGUGCAUUUUUUUUUCCAGUUUUACAGAUGAGAGACCAAGACUCAGGUUUGAGGGAACAUGAAUAGGGUCAGGCAAUUCACACGUAUGAAAAUCCAAAGGUUGAACUCGUCGUCAGUGCUGGUCUAAUAGGAUCAGUUAACUCUCCCCCGUGCAGCCAUCCCUUGGUACCCACAGGGAACUGGUAUCAGGAUGCCCCACAGAUACCAAACUCUACAGAUGCUCGAGCCCCCUCUAUAGAAUGGCAUGGUCUUUGCAUAUGAGCCGCGCAUGCCCUCUUGUGGACUUUAGAUCAUGUCUGGUGACCUACAAUUCCUAACUUGAUGUCAGUGCCACACGAGCAGCUGUUACUGUGUUGUUUAGGGAAUAACGAUAAGAAAAAUGUCAGUGUUCAGUACGGAGGCAGUUCUUUUAAGGGUAUUUUGGCCAGUAGUGGCUGAACCCACAUGCAGAACCUGCAGGCAUGGACGGGUGACCUUGUCCCCGGCCGCAGCCAAGGAAGGAGCCCUCCCAGGGACAGCUCUGUGUUGGUUGCUCUUGUUCUCAUUUUACAGAUGCAGAAGCUGAAGUUCAGAAUUGAUCAGUGACAGCUCAGGGCCAAGCAGCCAGGGAGGAGGCAGCUGGGACCCUGAGGGCUGGCCCAGGCCGAGCUCUGAGCACUGAGCACCUCCUUCCCCAGGGUCUGGGAGUCCCUGGACUGAGAGCCUGGCUCAGGGCCAAGGUCACUGUGGAGGGAGGACUUCAAUCUGCCUUCUGCUGAGUCAGUGGAGGGGGCUGUGCCCAGAGCCCAUGGGCCAAAGACCAGAAAUGUUGGUGACAGGCCGAAAGAGAGGCUUAGCACGGCAGUUCUGGGUGCUGGCAGCCCUUGGACCUCGGACCUCAGAAAUCUGCAGGCCACACUGUUUUGCAGGGCAUGGAGUCAAAGUGACAGAAACCAGAGAGGGCAGAAGAUUGUGCAUUGCCCAAGUUCAGUGUUUUCAACAAGCUGACAAGGCUGACGCCAGAGCUGUCAUCUAAGUUGGCCUAAAGUCAAAGGUCAUCGGCCCCACCAGGGCUUUGUACCCGAGCUUCCCAUGCCCAGGCUGAAAGAAAACCUGUUCCUGGAGAGCCAGGGGACUCCAACACGCCUCAGGAGCUACUGUGGCCGAGGGAGCUCAGCUUAGUUGUCCCUCUGCCUUUUUCUUGCUGGGUGACUUUGGGCUAGUAGUUUCACCUCUCUGGGCCUUGAUUCCCCAACCUGUGAUCAAGCAUUUCCAGGCCAGAUUCUGUAGGUAUCUGUUGAGUGAGAAAAUAAGUAGAUGAGUAUGGAGCAGGUAUUUUGCUGGUCUAAGCAGGCAAUGGCCCAUUUGGAUAGCCAACCAUGGCGUCUCCCUUAGGUGUGAAGAAAGGGUUCUCCACAGAUAGGGUGUGAGUAACAAAUGUUCCAAAGAAGCCAGGAUGAACGUUGUGCUCAAUGAUAUCUAUGCCGUGUUCCUUUUUUUCUUUUUUUCCUUGUUUGGUGGGGCUGAGGCUGGAACCCAGGGCCUCGCACAUGCGGAGCAAAUGCCCCUUCUGUGAGCUAGAAAUACAGCCCCGGCCCCACAGGGUCUUUUCCCCUCUUCUUCCCUAUCAACACUGUCUCUCUUAUGAUUGAG